This is a non-coding RNA of Peromyscus maniculatus bairdii (prairie deer mouse), 159 nucleotides long. NCBI's taxonomy places the organism in Eukaryota, Metazoa, Chordata, Mammalia, Rodentia, Cricetidae. The record is from RefSeq and is a predicted model, not a curated record.
UGCUGUAGCUAACUUGGAUAUUUAGUGUCAAGGAGGUGUAAGAGAAUUUCAAGUCCAUUGAGUGGCUCUCCAUUCCAGGCUCUGCUGAAAAGGUGUGCUGAUUUAUGCCUGGAUAUUAACUUCAAGUCCAUCGAUCAACAUGUCUACUUGUAUGCUAAU